RNAcentral lists this unclassified non-coding RNA (235 nucleotides) under Hevea brasiliensis (rubber tree). Lineage: Eukaryota; Viridiplantae; Streptophyta; Magnoliopsida; Malpighiales; Euphorbiaceae. The record is from RNAcentral.
AAUUGAGUUCCAUCUUCAUGACAACCAAUAAACCAGCAAGUGUUCUUUUCAGAGCAUUGGAUUGCAGCCUCAUUCAUCUGCUGGGGGUGAACGACUGUGGUAUCUCUCACGCACGGGACUUUCAGCUCCAGCAUCAUUUGGACCGUCCCUCUCUUCUGGCAGGGAAAUUGGGCUGGCACAACGACCAUUGUCAGGGCUGGCACCACCCCUCUCAUAAGGACUAUGACUGGAACCA